UGUGUGUGUGUGUGUGUGUGUGUGUGUGUGUGUGUGUGUGUGUGUGUGUGUGUGUGUGUACUUGUUUCUGCUAUACCGGUGGGGACUUUGACCUGACUAUUUGCUAUAAAGGUGGGGACUUGUCUUACGGUGGGGACCUAAAAUGAGGUCCCCACGGGUGGCAACACCGUUUUCUUGGCCAUAUUGUUGUUAAUAAAAAAUGUAAAAGUGCAAAAACGUUUGUUUAGGGUUAGGCAUUGAUUUGGUGAUGGUUAAGGUUAGGGUUAGGGUUAGAUAUGAAUGGGAGUCAAUGGUAAGUCCCCACCGGUAUAGAAAAACAAACGUGUGUGUGUGUGUGUGUGUGUGUGUGUGUGUGUGUGUGUGUGUGUGUGUGUGUGUGUGUGUGUGUGUGUGUGUGUGUGUGUGUGUGUGUGUGUUCCAUUGAAUCUGCUCUCUGAGAACGUCGCUGCCUUCAGCUUGCACAGUUGUCCUUCCUUUGUGAGGAAACCAACCAGAGGGAAUGUGAAGAAUGAAACGACACCAGAAUGAUGUCACAGAGAGGAAGACGACUGACGGAGCUUCAACAGUUUGUGACUCACAGAUGAAAUAUGCCAAUGAGGAUUCUACCUCACAAACUUCUACAACAGAAAAGCUUCAGAGACGACAACUCUCUGGGAUUAACGGGAUUCUAAGACAGCUUUUACUGCACCGUGAACUGUUUGUAUUAGGAAGAGGAUGUCAUCGUAUGCAAUAGACUGUAGCUGUACACAUGGUUAAAGUCUCUCUGCAGAAUCACCUGGAGGCAGAGGCUAACUGAAAAGCAGGUCAUUAGUCUGAUGAGGGUCUAGCUGAAGCUCCUGAUCCUGUCCAGCCUGUUCAGUGUGACUUCGCCUCACUGCCACAGUUACAAAGCUGUUUAAGGAAACGUCACAUUACAUUCCCUCAGCACAGUUCACCUGCAGGAUGCCACAUAUCAGAGCAGUCAGACCGAAACCGUCUGUGAGAGCCACGCUACAAUCUGCAUGAAUGUUCAAACCGGAGUGGUUAAAGUCCUCCUUAUCUGUUAAAGGCUGCACAGACUGGCCUUCUUCACCCACAGCUACCAGAGAAAGCUCCACCUCCAUCAGCGACAGAGACACCAUGGCUGAUGAACUACAAACUGAUGACCAGAGAAACCAGGCUCUUCAACCAUCAGGACUUUAUGGCAGCUCUGUCUGAAGCUCUUUACUACAAUGAGAGCACUGUAGGGCAGGCUUCACCCCCACACAACUCCGUUAUCAUCAUACCUGUUAUUUUUUAUUGCUUUUAUAACUCUGUAUGUUUUUCUUUAAAUUAGCCUUGAGCUAACUUUGGCUCAUUUACUACAACUUUGUGUAAACUGCAUUCAUUAAUAUGCACUGUCCUGUCCAAACAAAUACAAAUAAACAGAGCAGUAACUAC
This is a long non-coding RNA of Acanthochromis polyacanthus (spiny chromis), 1419 nucleotides long. RefSeq lists it as uncharacterized. The transcript has 2 exons. Lineage: Eukaryota; Metazoa; Chordata; Actinopteri; Pomacentridae. The record is from RefSeq and is a predicted model, not a curated record.